RNAcentral lists this transfer RNA (89 nucleotides) under Triticum aestivum (bread wheat). It matches the Rfam family "tRNA". Rfam says of the family: Transfer RNA (tRNA) molecules are approximately 80 nucleotides in length. Their secondary structure includes four short double-helical elements and three loops (D, anti-codon, and T loops). Lineage: Eukaryota; Viridiplantae; Streptophyta; Magnoliopsida; Poales; Poaceae. The record is from Rfam by way of RNAcentral.
GGAGUGGUGGCGCAGUUGGCUAGCGCGUAGGUCUCAUAGCAAACAUGCGAGUGAUCCUGAGGUCGAGAGUUCGAGCCUCUAUUACCCCA